Long non-coding RNA from Mastomys coucha (southern multimammate mouse), 698 nucleotides. RefSeq lists it as uncharacterized. The record is from RefSeq and is a predicted model, not a curated record. Lineage: Eukaryota; Metazoa; Chordata; Mammalia; Rodentia; Muridae. The transcript has 4 exons.
UCCACACCCCAAGAGUCCCCACACCCCAGCGCUCGGAGCCCCGGAAAGCAGGAGAGGGACCCCAGUUAGACCCUGAGUAGGGAGGGAGUUGGGGGGUCGACAGAUUGGGCUCAGUGAUCGUAACCCGUCCCUGGAGGCAGCUUUCUGAGAGUCCAACCCCUUCCCUGGAGGAUGCAAAUUCCGUAGGGAGGAAAGCCUUCUGAGACUGAAUUUGUUCAUCAGAGGAUAAACAUUGUUCUUUGCAGAUAUCUGUGUCCUCGGGAGUUCUUUCAAUAAGGGUGAGAGGCUCCUGAAGAUCUUCUGAACAAAGUUUCUCCAAGUUCUCUGACUCUCUGGAGUGACGAUUCAGAGAUUUUCUCCCUGCAUCCAUCGCUCCUCCACCAGUGCAAGAACAACCAGUCUGCAUUAGUCUACAUUUGUUGUUCGAGAAGGGCAAUUACUAAUAGAUAAACUCAUGAAUGCGACAUCAAGCCCUAUCCGACAUGCUCACCACUUUUUUGAUAUUGUCCUUCGAAAUUUCCCCGCAUAUUUCCCUUCUAACACUCAAGAGAUCACCAGUUCCCAACUUAGAGAUUUCAUUCUUGAUCUCUUUCUCCAGGGUGAUCUCAUGGAUUUCACCUGGGAUGAAGUAAUGCAGUUCCUGGAACUUCCAUAAAAUAUGCCAUUAUGUCUCUCCUUACAAUAAAAGUGGAUCUCGA